RNAcentral lists this ribosomal RNA (496 nucleotides) under uncultured bacterium. RNAcentral describes it as "partial 16S ribosomal RNA". It matches the Rfam family "Bacterial small subunit ribosomal RNA", at positions 29 to 507 of the family's 1533-position model. The record is from RNAcentral.
AUGCACGCUGGCGGCGUGCCUAAUACAUGCCGGUCGAGCGAACAGACGAGGAGCUUGCUCCUCUGACGUUAGCGGCGGACGGGUGAGUAACACGUGGAUAACCUACCUAUAAGACUGGGAUAACUUCGGGAAACCGGAGCUAAUACCGGAUAACAUGUUGAACCGCAUGGUUCAACAGUGAAAGACGGUCUUGCUGUCACUUAUAGAUGGAUCCGCGCCGCAUUAGCUAGUUGGUAAGGUAACGGCUUACCAAGGCAACGAUGCGUAGCCGACCUGAGAGGGUGAUCGGCCACACUGGAACUGAGACACGGUCCAGACUCCUACGGGAGGCAGCAGUAGGGAAUCUUCCGCAAUGGGCGAAAGCCUGACGGAGCAACGCCGCGUGAGUGAAGAAGGUCUUCGGAUCGUAAAACUCUGUUAUUAGGGAAGAACAAAUGUGUAAGUAACUAUGCACGUCUUGACGGUACCUAAUCAGAAAGCCACGGCUAACUACGUG